This 78-nucleotide transfer RNA is filed under the name Candidatus Wildermuthbacteria bacterium RIFCSPHIGHO2_01_FULL_48_27b. Its description in RNAcentral is "tRNA-Asp". It matches the Rfam family "tRNA". From Rfam's summary of the family: Transfer RNA (tRNA) molecules are approximately 80 nucleotides in length. The record is from RNAcentral. Lineage: Bacteria; Candidatus Wildermuthiibacteriota. RNAcentral also lists the same sequence under 2 other names.
GCGGGCGUAGCUCAGCUGGUUUAAAGCGCUUCCCUGUCACGGAAGAGAUCGUGGGUUCGAAUCCCAUCGCCCGCGCCA